Molecule: ribosomal RNA, 165 nt
Filed under: uncultured bacterium
Lineage: Bacteria
Description: partial 16S rRNA
Rfam family: Bacterial small subunit ribosomal RNA
Source: RNAcentral
GUAGGGAAUCUUCCACAAUGGACGAAAGUCUGAUGGAGCAACGCUGCGUGAGUGAAGAAGGGUUUCGGCUCGUAAAACUCUGUUGUUAAAGAAGAACAUAUCUGAGAGUAACUGUUCAGGUAUUGACGGUAUUUAACCAGAAAGCCACGGCUAACUACGUGCCAC